Triticum aestivum (bread wheat) is the source of this 3227-nucleotide RNA transcript. RefSeq lists it as uncharacterized. The transcript is spliced from 5 exons. NCBI's taxonomy places the organism in Eukaryota, Viridiplantae, Streptophyta, Magnoliopsida, Poales, Poaceae. The record is from RefSeq and is a predicted model, not a curated record.
CCUCGCCUCGGCUUCUCCGGUUCCCUUCCUAAACCCUCUCUCCCCUUCGCUUGCUAGGCUGCAGCUAAGCUACCCCUACCAGAUUACCCCCGCCAAAUCCACUACCGCGGCACCGCCUCCUCCGGCGAGAUGCUGCGGCCGCUCCGCCGCCUAUCCGGCCCCCUCCGCCGCUCCCUCUCCACCGCCUCUUGGCGCCCCGCCUGGGCCAUGAUUUACCGGAUCUCCACGGCGGAGGAGUCCGCGGCCGCGCGGGGCGUCUCCCUCGCGCUCGCCCCGCCCCCGCUCGCCUCCCGCGUCUCCGUCCCAAGGCACGCCUUCGGUCUCGACCCGCUCCCGGACACGGCCAGCUCCGACGGCCAGCCCUCCAACUUCUUCGACUUCGGCAGCCUGGCCCCCGAGCAGGGCUCUCCCCAACCGGCCAGCACCCUUGUCGAUAUCUUCGGCAGCGGCGUGCUCGCCGCGAGCAGCGACGGCCUCCUCCUGCUCGGCACGUUCAGGAACCGCGCCGACCCCACGGGGAUGUUCGAGUACCAGGGCCCGUCCACCGCCCCGUUCGAGGUCCUCGACCAGGCCUACGCUCGCUCCUACUGCUGCGACAUCAUGAGGCUCGCGCGCUUCGUCUGCAACCCCGUCACCGGCGAGAUGGCCCGCCUUCCGGACUUCGACGGCACGGAGGACGCCUUCACCGCCUCCACGGGCCUCCUCACCCAGGCCGACGGUGGGCACGGACCACCCAGGAGGUACGCCGCUGCGCAGCUCAGCUUGGUCGGCGAUGGGCGGCGUUUCCUGCUGCGCCGGCUCUCCUCGGAGACAGGGGAGUGGGACGAGCUGCUGCUGCCGUCCCCGCUACCGGCUGGGCGCCUCAUGUACAUGAACCACGAGGUGCUGGACUUCGGAGGGCGGCUCUGGUGGGUAGACGUGAGCUGGGGCGCCGUCAACGUCGACCCGUUCAGCGACCGGCCCGAGCUCUGCCUCGUCGAGCUGCCGGGAGACAUCAUGCUUCCUGACCAACAGGGCGAGGCAGAGAUGAGGCAGCUCCUCCAGCACAGGCGCAUGGGGGUCAGCGACGGCAGGCUGAGGUUUGUGGAGGUUUCCAAGGACGAGCCCUUCAACAUCAAGUCGUUCAUGCUUGAUGAACAGAGUGGCCGCUGGAUGCUGGAGCACAUGGUGACCUGGAAAACUCUCUGCCCCGGAGGCAAGGUGGCGCCUAUGAUUGCUGCUAUCGAUCCGAUGAGCGCCGACUUAGUGCAUCUCACUGUGCCCGUGGGCAAUGGAUAUUUUGUAAGUGUUGACAUGCGCUGGAAGAGGCCGGUUGAGUGUGUGGACUUCGGAAGUGGCGUUCAUCCAAGCAAGUGCAUCUCAAGUUUCGUUCUGCCAUGUGUGCUCCCCUCAUUUCUCGGAUCAAGCCCGAUUCCAGAUAUGCAUCCGCGGAGGCUAUUCAGCUAUGCCACAAGCUUCCAGCGCAAACAAAUACCGGUCAUUCGUCAACUUCUGUUCAGUCAUGAGUAUGAGGCGAAGAAUGAAAUAUGGUGUCCUUUUGAGCAGAUGCUGGUGAAGGGAAGUAUGCUGAAGAGCCUUGUUCCAGGCGGGCUUAUAAGGGUAGAAGAUAUAAUCCGCAAUGGCCAUUACAGUACUGGGAAGCUGGCACUCCUAUCUCUUCGUGAUUUAGUAGAUCUAGCAACUGUUAAUCUGAUGAGAGGCGUCAAUGUUAGUGAGCUUAUUGUCUUGGAAAACCUAUUGUGGGCUCCCUCAGCUCGGGGCAUUAUGUUCAAGCAUACGAAUCUAAUCAACAAUGGAGAAGAAACUGGGUGCCCCUAUCUCUCAAUUUAUGAGCUUUUCAAACUUGCAGUUCUCAUAACAACAGGAAAGCCAAUCAAGGAAGUAAAUUUGCCCGCUGAUCUCGCACACUUUCUACAGUAUUUACAGAGAGCAACCAACAUAGAUAAAAGAUUGAUUACAAACCACUCAGCCACCAGAUUUCCGGAGGAGAGGAUUCAGAGGAACAAGUCAUACAAUUAUCUGUUUCGGACUGAAUUCAAGCACUUUUAUGCAACGCCAGCUGCAGCGCGAAGUUACUACGUGUUUGAGGCAUUGGGGCUAAUCUUCCCCCAGGAGCUGUUAACACCUGCAGGUCUUCAUCCAUUGAUCGAUUAUUGGGCUUCUUACAAUCAAGAGAUGAUCCGUCAGCAGUCUGGAAAUGGAGUCAUCCUGACCCAUCAAUGCCCAAUUGUUGUUCCUCGAUUUAAUACUGUUUAUGAACUCGGAAACCGGUUGAUUGCACUCUGUAGGGAUCCCUUUGAACAUCCCUAUGGACCAUUAUAUGCUGAUCCAUCAUAUGCUGAUCUUUAUCCGUACCUUGAGAUGGGCUACAGCAUUUUUCAAAUAGAGCAGCUAAUAAAUCACCUAAUUCCACUGUAUGGGCCUACCGCCGAUGAACAAAUUCUGGUGCACAAAUUGUGGGAUAAUGUGUUCACUGGUCAGCGGCCACUGCCCCCACAUGCUAAUUGGACUGAUAUAAGUGGCGUGCGGAACCAGGCAAGAUGAACGCCGAGAAAAACAAGACUUUGGCAGAUGUUCUUGUUCGCUCAGACACCCCGUAGGAAGGACGAAGGUUUCUCAGAACUGCAGAUGCUGCUCUAUAAUCAGUUAUGAAGUUUUUUUGUGGGGUAAUCAAUUAGGAAGCUGAUGGUGGUAGUUUACUGAACUCUCAAAAGGGCAACCUGGUGCAUGUAGCUCCCGCUUGCGCAGGGUCCAGGGAAGGGUCCGACCACUUUGGGUCUAUAGUACGCAGCCUUUCCCUACAUUUCUGUAAGAGGCUGUUUCCAGGACUUGAACCCAUGACCUCAUGGUCACAAGGCAGCAGCUUUACCACUGCGCCAAGGCUCCCCUUCAGUUUACUGAACUCUCAUUUUGGGGGAAAUCUGGAGAUGUCUUGGUCUGAUGGAGUUUUGUGAUCAACUUACUGUAUCCCGUUUUGAGGGCAAGUUGUGGAGAUUUUCUAGGCGAUAGGUUCACGGCAGAGCAUUCCAGCAAAUUUGCAAAAUUAAUCAGCAUGUAACGUCCAUCACCGAACGUUUAGUAGCUAGAUGAUACAUUCUUAGGGAAAGAUUGCUGCUUGGACAUGUUUAAUGUUAGGAGAAAGCUUAUGGAUCUCUGUGUAUGUUAUCCAUGCGGCAUUGGCGGUUUGUUCCACUUCUAAUGUAGUAUUAGUAUUCAUGCGCUGAGUA